Small nuclear RNA from Hyaena hyaena (striped hyena), 103 nucleotides. NCBI's taxonomy places the organism in Eukaryota, Metazoa, Chordata, Mammalia, Carnivora, Hyaenidae. The record is from RefSeq and is a predicted model, not a curated record.
CUGCUCACUUUGGCAGCACACAUACUAAAAUUGGAACUAUUAAAGAUUAACACAGCCCUGGCGCAAGGGUGCCAUGCAAAUUUGUGAAGUGCUCCAUACUUUU